UCCUUGGCUUUGCUAGGUUUUUGCCUCUUUUACUCGCCUUGGUUGUUCUAUGUUCCUCUCUAUCCGUGCUGCUUCCUCGUUCUCCCCUGCACCGUGUUUGUUUUCUGAUCCUCGACGCCGCAACACGUUUCUGCCGCCGCCGCUACACUUGGGGAGAUGGGAGGCCAUUUUGUGUAAUUUCUGAAGUCCCUGGUUCCAGUGAUGAAGAUUAUUUUAAAGAAGUUUACAAUGUGACCAUUUUACGAAGAAGAGAUUGGCUGAGACGAAGGAAGCAGCUGAAGUUGAGAUUUGGAUCAGUGGUUCCAAUUUCAGGAUCUGAUUUUGUUUGAGAGGUUUCACAGGCUUCCUCUGAUGUUUGGGUGAUUGUCAUCCUUUACAAAGAUGGUGCAUUGAAGAAUUUGUCACAAGAUAUCCUGUAACAAAAUAAAUUUGUUAAGAUAAUAUCAACUGAUUGCAUUCCCAAUCUGCCCACCGUAUUGGUAUACAACAAGAUGCACUCUUGAAGGAAUUUAAUUGAUUUUAUCUUAUGAUGCCUUUUGUGAAACUUGUUAGUUUAAACUUUAAAAAUAUUUAAAUUUCAGAAACGUGAUAUUGAAUGCAUAUUUAUUUUCUUUCUUCUCUCUUUUCUAAUUGGAACUCAUAUGUAUUAUUGUAUUUUUGUUGUAAUUCUU
This is a long non-coding RNA of Arachis duranensis, 671 nucleotides long. RefSeq lists it as uncharacterized. Lineage: Eukaryota; Viridiplantae; Streptophyta; Magnoliopsida; Fabales; Fabaceae. The record is from RefSeq and is a predicted model, not a curated record. The transcript has 4 exons.